Actinia tenebrosa (Australian red waratah sea anemone) is the source of this 972-nucleotide long non-coding RNA. NCBI's taxonomy places the organism in Eukaryota, Metazoa, Cnidaria, Anthozoa, Actiniaria, Actiniidae. The record is from RefSeq and is a predicted model, not a curated record.
AUGACCUAAUAACAACAAAAACAAGUUAUAAUUGGAUUGCAGGUGAAUAAUAGAUUAACAGGAUACUCCUUGGCUGAAGAACUCUUAUGGGUGACCUAAGCCAUGUGACCAGGUAGAACAAACAAACUGAACUAAAUAAGCAAACAGAAAGGCAGGUAAGACAAGAACAGGCAGACAGAUAGAGAGAGACCCAGAAAAGCAGGCAUUGGUUAACAACAAACAAGCAGACAGACAGACAGGCAGACAGGCAGACAGGCAGACAGGUAAGACAAGAACAGGCAAGGAAGGCAAGCAGGUAGGAAAAGAAGUAGUAAGAUAGAAACAGGCAGACAGGCAGACAGGCAGACAGGCAGACAGGCAGACAGACAGACAGAUAGAGAGACCCAGACAAGCAGAACAAAUCCCCAUAGCAAAGCCUUAAACCCUGAUCAAUCUCACCUCUCCGCAGAUGUAGUCACUAAAACGGUUGAUACAACCUGUUCAAACAAAGAUGAAAGCGAAAGGUUAUGGAAAAGGAGAGGACUGGUACAUAGAAAAAUACUGAAAUGAGGUCUACUAUCUUAAUGUACUGAAUUUGGACAUGAAAGAUAUUGAUUCGAAGUGAGGGCUGCAACCCGCCACGCGUUUUUGGCAUCAUUUUGGUCUCGUCGGCUAAAAUCAAGUUAUAUUGUCAAAUGAAUCAUUAUGGAAAAGGAUUUUGGUUCUUUGCCGAGUCACUGAGCAGAUAUUUUCAUAGUUAAUAGAAGGGAAUUUGCUUACCGCGGAAGCCUUCAGGCCGCUUUUCGUCUUCAAGAUAGAACCCAGAAACCUGGCUGAGAAGCAUAACACUGGCAAUUACGAGAACAAUGAAGUAUGACGAUGAUGCCAUGUUUACUGACAGAGAUUCUCUUUUCCUGGAAUCAGCCCUUUUUUCCACUGAAAUAUUGAUGUUUGUUGAUUGCGUUUUGGGGUUGAAUAAAGGAGUGAACUUAA